This 253-nucleotide ribosomal RNA is filed under the name uncultured bacterium. Its description in RNAcentral is "partial 16S ribosomal RNA". It matches the Rfam family "Bacterial small subunit ribosomal RNA", at positions 524 to 776 of the family's 1533-position model. The record is from RNAcentral.
UACGUAGGGUGCGAGCGUUGUCCGGAAUUACUGGGCGUAAAGAGCUCGUAGGUGGUUUGUCGCGUUGUUCGUGAAAACCGGGGGCUUAACCCUCGGCGUGCGGGCGAUACGGGCAGACUUGAGUACUGCAGGGGAGACUGGAAUUCCUGGUGUAGCGGUGGGAUGCGCAGAUAUCAGGAGGAACACCGGUGGCGAAGGCGGGUCUCUGGGCAGUAACUGACGCUGAGGAGCGAAAGCGUGGGGAGCGAACAGG